GGAGGACUAGUCCUAAUUGGUAAGGCAGCGGUCUUGAAAACCGCCGUGUUCACGCACUUGGGGGUUCGAGUCCCUCGUCCUCCG
RNAcentral lists this transfer RNA (84 nucleotides) under Candidatus Delongbacteria bacterium. RNAcentral's name for it is "tRNA-Ser". It matches the Rfam family "tRNA". Rfam says of the family: Transfer RNA (tRNA) molecules are approximately 80 nucleotides in length. Lineage: Bacteria; Candidatus Delongiibacteriota. The record is from RNAcentral.